GACUCACGCAGCCCCUCCUGAUGAUCCUUCUUCCUGAGUGGCUCCAGUGAUGAGCCAAAACUGAGCCUCUAAGAAGUUGACUGAAGGGGCUGCUUCCUC
This is a small nucleolar RNA of Erinaceus europaeus (western European hedgehog), 99 nucleotides long. NCBI's taxonomy places the organism in Eukaryota, Metazoa, Chordata, Mammalia, Eulipotyphla, Erinaceidae. The record is from Ensembl.